Molecule: non-coding RNA, 102 nt
Organism: Acanthosepion pharaonis
Lineage: Eukaryota; Metazoa; Mollusca; Cephalopoda; Sepiida; Sepiidae
Source: the annotation of a GenBank genome assembly
ACAAUCAUAUUAGGUUGAAACACUGGUUCCCAUACAAUCACUGAAGUUAAGCAACAUUGAUCCUGGUCAGUACCUAAAUGAGUGACCGCUUGAGAACACUAG